UACAGGCAUUAAAAAUUAGAAGCAAUCUCCAGGAGUUUUGGCGAAUCACAGUCGAUGUGUGUGGCCUGGCAUUGAUUUUAUUGAACACAAUUUGUCUCUUAUUGGCUAAAACUGCCCGCUCCUUCAGACAGUCCAAAUGUACAGGUCCGAAUUAAGAGUUUGCCCGAUUACUCACAAAACGUCUCUGACUGUCAAUCCUGGCUUGUUUACCGUUUACGCCGGCUUACCGCGACUCGACCACAUUCUCACAAUUAUUUGUAAAUUUUUUCCUCGGGUAUCCAAAAAAAAUUAUUAUUCGGAGACUUGUUAAAACUUUUCAGUAAAAUUAUUAUUUUGACUUGUAGUUGAGAAUUUUACGUGGAAACUAAUUUAGAAUUUAUAAAUCCAAAGUCAGCGAAAGAUUCGUGCCGACUAUGCUCCCAAUAUUUAAAAAAAUUUCAUUGAAAAAAAGAUAUAAUGCAUCUUUAUGUUUUUUAGGAUUCUAUUAAGUUUUUUAGGAGAAUUAAAUAUUUUCAGAACAUUCCCGUUUCAUCAUUUUUGUAAUUCAAAAAAGUUUUUUUUUAAAAGGAAUCUAGUAGGGCUUUAAUGCUUUAUUAUGAAGCAAUGUCAAAAAUGUUUAAACAAUUUCUGAAUAACUGCAUAAACAUUGUAAAUUUAUAUUUCACUUUGUAAUUUUUGAACGUGACAAACCUAAAAUAUGCAAGCAAUUGUGCAAAUUCAUUUUGGUGUUAAUGAAAUAUAUCGAAUAAAUUUGAAGAGCUGAUUCUGUUCCAUGUAGACACUAUGAUUUUUGAUUCGUUUUGCCUGUAAUCGAUUCCUACAAUACAAGUAUUUAUCUUUCAAAACACCAUGUUGUUAGCUCUGUUAUCUUUGUGUUCAAAUUAAAUAAAUGUGUGCUUUUAAAUAAAAAA
This is a non-coding RNA of Bactrocera oleae (olive fruit fly), 911 nucleotides long. The record is from RefSeq and is a predicted model, not a curated record. Lineage: Eukaryota; Metazoa; Arthropoda; Insecta; Diptera; Tephritidae.